UCGGGAGUGCCCUCGUGGCUUAACCUGCAACCCAAUGUUUUACAAACCCUUGUUUCUUUGGCGGGCUCGCCCGUCAGAAGAAUUCUCAAACUCAUUAUAAACGUGUCUUCUGAACAAAAUUUUAAUAAAAAUUA
RNAcentral lists this unclassified non-coding RNA (134 nucleotides) under uncultured Lecanoromycetes. RNAcentral describes it as "sequence contains ITS1". Lineage: Eukaryota; Fungi; Ascomycota; Lecanoromycetes. The record is from RNAcentral.